CAUGGAGGGUGAGAAUCCCGUUCGGUUGACCUUAUGACGCUUUACGAUACGCUCUCAAAGAGUCGAGUUGUUUGGGAUUGCAGCUCAAAAUGGGAGGUAAAUUUCUCCUAAGGCUAAAUAUCGGCGAGAGACCGAUAGCGAACAAGUACCGUGAGGGAAAGAUGAAAAGAACUUUGAAAAGAGAGUUAAACAGUACGUGAAAUUGUUGAAAGGGAAACGAUUGAAGUCAGUCAUACCAACGGGAAAUCAACCUCUUGAGCUCGGUCUCGUGGGUUUUGAAGAGUUUCAAAGCCUUCGGAUUCGCGGGAUUGGGAUCUCUUGGUGUACUUUUUCGUACGGUUAGUCAACAUCGGUUUUGAAUGUCAUAAAAUGACUGGAGGAAUGUAGCUUCGAUCUCGUAUUGAAGUGUUAUAGCCUUUGGUAGAUGUGAUGUUUGAGACCGAGGAUUGCAACGGAUACCCUUCAGGGCUAUUCGUCUGAUCUCUGAUACGUUGCCUUGAUGUUGAAAGCUUGCUUAUGAUGUUAGGGUAUUACGGUCACAAGGUUAGAACGGAUUACAUUCGUUAAGGAUGUUGACGUAAUGG
This 584-nucleotide ribosomal RNA is filed under the name uncultured Funneliformis. RNAcentral's name for it is "LSU rRNA". It matches the Rfam family "Eukaryotic large subunit ribosomal RNA", at positions 204 to 637 of the family's 3401-position model. Lineage: Eukaryota; Fungi; Glomeromycota; Glomeromycetes; Glomerales; Glomeraceae. The record is from RNAcentral.